RNAcentral lists this long non-coding RNA (190 nucleotides) under Danio rerio (zebrafish). Its description in RNAcentral is "lncRNA (ENSDARG00000117453.1)". The record is from RNAcentral. Lineage: Eukaryota; Metazoa; Chordata; Actinopteri; Cypriniformes; Danionidae.
AAGACACAAGGCAUUAUAGAAAAUGUCAGUGGGACCUGAAGAAAAUCCUUUUCAAGGGAACUUCAUAAUGACCUACAAAAGCACGCACACUGCACUUCUGAGGGAAUUUAGUGAUGCUCACCGCAUCACUAAAGAAAGGAACACCGUAUUCUGAAGGAGAAGUGGAGGCAGCAUAAGCAAAAAAAAAGAG